RNAcentral lists this ribosomal RNA (300 nucleotides) under uncultured Alteromonadales bacterium. RNAcentral's name for it is "bacterial SSU rRNA". It matches the Rfam family "Bacterial small subunit ribosomal RNA", at positions 114 to 417 of the family's 1533-position model. Lineage: Bacteria; Pseudomonadati; Pseudomonadota; Gammaproteobacteria; Alteromonadales. The record is from RNAcentral.
CGCGUAGGAAUCUACCUAGUAGUGGGGGACAACAUGUGGAAACGCAUGCUAAUACCGCAUACGCCCUACGGGGGAAAGCAGGGGAUCUUCGGACCUUGUGCUAUUAGAUGAGCCUGCGUUAGAUUAGCUAGUUGGUGGGGUAAAGGCCUACCAAGGCGACGAUCUAUAGCUGUUCUGAGAGGAAGAUCAGCCACACUGGGACUGAGACACGGCCCAGACUCCUACGGGAGGCAGCAGUGGGGAAUAUUGCACAAUGGGCGCAAGCCUGAUGCAGCCAUGCCGCGUGUGUGAAGAAGGCUC